CACUUCUAAGGAAGGCAGCAGGCGCGCAAAUUACCCAAUCCUGACUCAGGGAGGUAGUGACAAGAAAUAACAAUAAACCGGCUUAUGCCGGUUUAAUUGGAAUGAGUACAAUUUAAACGUCUUAACGAGGAACAAUUGGAGGGCAAGUCUGGUGCCGGCAGCCGCGGUAAUUCCAGCUCCAAUAGCGUAUACUAAAGUUGUUGCAGUUAAAAAGCUCGUAGUUGGAUUUCUGUGGGGACGGAGCGGCCGGCCGCACAUCGCGGUUCGAGCUAGCGCUUUCCCUACAUCCUGCCGCGAACCGUGCUACCAUUAAUUUGGUGGCGCCGGGGAUCGGCUCGAUUACUUUGAGAAAAAUAGAGUGUUCAAAGCAGGCCACAUGCCUUGAAUAAGUUAGCAUGGAAUAAUAACUAAGGACUUCGGUUCUAUUUUGUUGGUGUUCGGGACUGAAGUAAUGAUUGAUAGGGACAGUUGGGGCGGUCUGUAUUCCAAAGCGAGAGGUGAAAUUCUUAGACCUUCGGAAGACAAACAGCUGCGAAAGCGUUCCGCAAGGAUGUUCCCUUUGAUCAAGAACGAAAGUUGGGGGAUCGAAGACGAUCAGAUACCGUCGUAGUCUCAACUAUAAACUAUACCAGCUAGGGAUCGGCCAACGUUAUUUUAUACCGACUUGGUCGGCACCUUAUGAGAAAUCAAAGCAUCUGGGUUCCGGGGGGAGUAUGGUCGCAAGGCUGAAACUUAAAGGAAUUGACGGAAGGGCACCACCAGCCGUGGAGCCUGUGGCUUAAUUUGACUCAACACGGGAAAACUUACCAGGUCCAGACAUAGUAAGGAUUGACAGAUUGAUAGCUCUUUCUUGAUUCUGUGGGUGGUGGUGCAUGGCCGUUCUUAGUUGGUGGAGUGAUUUGUCUGGUUAAUUCCGUUAACGAACGAGACCCCAGCCUGCUAAAUAGCGCGCAUGAGCUUUGCUCGUGGCGAGCUUCUUAGAGGGACUAUGAUGCGCGAUAGCACAUGGAAGUUUGGGGCAAUAACAGGUCUGUGAUGCCCUUAGAUGUUCUGGGCCGCACACGGGCUACACUGGCGCCUGCAACGAGCAUAUCAGCUGGCCCGAGAGGGUCUUGGCUAAUCUUUUGAACCGGCGCCGUGCUUGGGAUUGACCUUUGCAAUUGUUGGUCAUGCAACGAGGAAUGCCUUGUAAACGCGAGUCAUCAGCUCGCAUUGAAUACGUCCCUGCCCUUUGUACACACCGCCCGUCGCUCCUACCGAUGAAUGUUCCGAUGAAAUUUUCGGAGAGUGCCUGUGAACUUGGCUCUGCCUUGCGAACGGGAAGCUCAAAGUCACUUAAAUCUGAACAUUUCGAGG
RNAcentral lists this ribosomal RNA (1356 nucleotides) under uncultured marine eukaryote. RNAcentral's name for it is "SSU rRNA". It matches the Rfam family "Eukaryotic small subunit ribosomal RNA", at positions 411 to 1779 of the family's 1831-position model. The record is from RNAcentral.